AGAAAACUGUCCAGGUCUCGUUAUUCAUUCAUCAGUAUGACUACCGGAAUCACUCGAUACACAGUUCUGUCACCUUCUGCUCGAGAUCACUUCGCAGUAGCCGUGGCUGGAGGCGAGCUUACUCACAUAUUCACGUCUGUACGUCCGCUAUAUGUUCUUCGUAUUGUGCAAGGAGGAGAAGGGAGGGGGAUGAGAAUAUAACAGGAGAUCGAUCGAUCCAAGAGGCAGAGAAGCCGAGGGGACGCCGUGAUCGUCGACGCUCCAUCACUAGGCCUCCUCCUCCGCUUCCUCCUCGUCGAGACCGCUGAGCGGAUAGCAAGUGUCCUCACCGCCG
RNAcentral lists this long non-coding RNA (334 nucleotides) under Spirodela polyrhiza (greater duckweed). Its description in RNAcentral is "long non-coding RNA (SPOL_LNC001520)". Lineage: Eukaryota; Viridiplantae; Streptophyta; Magnoliopsida; Alismatales; Araceae. The record is from RNAcentral.